RNAcentral lists this long non-coding RNA (280 nucleotides) under Setaria viridis. RNAcentral's name for it is "long non-coding RNA (SVIR_LNC005390)". Lineage: Eukaryota; Viridiplantae; Streptophyta; Magnoliopsida; Poales; Poaceae. The record is from RNAcentral.
GGGUGAUGACUAGAAGUCGUUGAGGCAAGUGAGGCCUAAAAGUGAUUGACUCAGCCAAAUCAGGGAUUCGACUGUCACAUAGCAGGUCUUAAUUGUUGUCCCUUGGGUACAAAAUUCCUUCUAAUCAUGUGAGAUCAUGCACGAGAAGUUUGGCCGAAUUUGUUCUAUAAAAGGACUCAAAAUAAUUUUCCAACAAAAUCAACUCAGUUUUGUUUUCAGAACUUUUUUUUUGUAAAAAGGGAAAGAGGCUAGAAAAAUUCCAGCAUGCAAAUGAGGGUUU